Molecule: ribosomal RNA, 253 nt
Filed under: uncultured bacterium
Lineage: Bacteria
Description: partial 16S ribosomal RNA
Rfam family: Bacterial small subunit ribosomal RNA
Source: RNAcentral
UACAGAGGGUGCGAGCGUUAAUCGGAAUUACUGGGCGUAAAGCGCGCGUAGACGGUUUUGUACGUCAGAUGUGAAAUCCCUGGGCUCAACCUGGGAACUGCAUUUGAGACUGCAUGGCUAGAGUAUGGAAGAGGGAAGUGGAAUUUCCGGUGUAGCGGUGAAAUGCGUAGAUAUCGGGAGGAACAGCAGUGGCGAAAGCGGCUUCCUGGUCCAAUACUGACGUUGAUGUGCGAAAGCGUGGGGAGCAAACAGG